GCCAGGUGCAAACAGCAGAACUAAUUACAAAUUAACAAAUACUAGGCAUGAUUAGAAUGAGAAUCAGAUGGGGGAAAGCUCUCCAACAUGUGAUAGGGAUAAGCUAAAUACUUGAGGCAGAGAAAACCUUUCCCUGUUUUCUCUGUGAUGGUUGUCACGGGUAUUAGGAAGAAAUGGAUAACAGAAAGAAUUUCUUCCUAGAAGGGUGUCAUUGGAACAGUCCAUUCAGGGAAGUGGUGGAGUCCUUGUCCCUGAAGGUACUUGAGAGACAUAGGAUGUGGCUGAGUGAUAAGGCUUAGUAGGUCAGGUAAGCAGUUGAAGAUUUUUUCCAACCCAAGAGACUCUAUGAUUCAGUCAGUUUUCUUUCUGGUGAUACUUCCAUCUGUGGAUGGAGACAGAGCAGCAUGGAGCCUCUGGCUUCAGACUCUCCUUUUGCAUCUCUGGAAAACAGAAGAGAGCCUUCCUUUUUCCCUUUGCUCAGGUGCCAGGGAGCAUAAAAUGAUUGAUACCCAGGAGGUUGAUCUGGGCUGAAACCAUUUCCAAGAAUGACUGUGCUUGAUAUUCUCUCCCUGAUAACCAGAUGUAUAGCAAGUGUAACAGGAAAUGGCAUUAAAUACUUCAGCCUUUCACAGAAUUCAGUCUUCAAAGUCAGUAUCAAUAUUUUUAUUGCUUUGUUCUUGUCAUGUUACAUCCUGUCAUAUGGUUGCUGCCCUUGAAGAAGUUUGAAAUCAAUGAAGAUGGGUUGCUCCUAAAAGUUCUGACCUAUCUAGGAAUGUCUUACUGGAUGACAUGCGGUUUGAUGCGCAACACUCUUUUACGUGAAGCAAUGAAGCUGUGGAUUUGCAACUUCCCAUGUGCAUUAGAGGAUCCCUACGCUUCUCUACAGCAACCAACAGGAAGAGGAAAGGAGAUUGGCACAUGGGGCUUGGAAGAACUGACUGUUUUGUUAGGGUGCGGCUGGAUAUCAGACCUCAGGUUGCACUCUAAGAUAAAACAGUGUUACCUGCUCACACAUUGCACUGUUGACCUCUUACCACGAGUGAGGACAACUCUGGCCAGAAAAGGAAUCAGAAGAGUCCUGGUACCAAAAAUAAUCCAUCUAGAGCUCAGCAAAUGACUCACUGCAGUGAAGAUGCUUUGGCUCUCAGCUCUGAGGAGGCCGAGCUCUGAGAAGUGUGAGUGCGUUUCUUGGAAAAGGUAGCACUGGGGAUGGAUUUGUGAAUGACAGUUUUCCUCUCGUAAAAGAGUCCAGGAUGCCCCUAUGAAAGAAGAGCUUUUAGAUGUGCAGGAAAUGCCCCGUGGCUGGUACAAUUGAUUGUGUCACUUUGAAUGAUCAGGGGAACUCAUUCAUGGCAUAGUUUUAUGUGUAUGUUCUUUUAAAAAUAAUGUUGUUUUCCAUACAUGUUCUUCGGGGUUCCCAGACAAAAUAUUCUGACUUCCUGUGAUCUUUUAGAGUAUCAGCAAAUGGUGUUAUAAACAGUACAUAGAAUGACUAGGCAAUGAAACAAUUAGUUGAUUUUAUAAUGGAGCAUGAAAUCAGAUAGAAUUUGAGAUAGAGCUGAGAGAAGCUGGUGUCUGAUCUGAUUAAGAUCUAUGUCAUUCCUGCUUUUUAGAAUCCAGCAGAUGUUUCUGAAUAGUCGAUAGUUUUAGUUUAGCUGUUGUAGAUACCAUUGACAGGUUUUACUUGGUAAUACUACAGCAGCAGCUCAGUCAUAGGAUUUUCUGUGCAGUACUAACACAGCUGAUUUAUAUCAUGGAGAUAAAAAUGGGGCUACAAAAAUCCUCCAGUAGGUGCUCUGAAUUUUUCUCACAGAAAUUAUGUCCCUUGAGUUGAAAGGCAAAAUUCAUUGCAUCUUUAUGGUAAACACAUCAGAGUACUUUGUACAAACAGCGAAAUAUAGUGGAAAAAAACAAACCAGGCACUAAAGCAUAAGAGGGCAGUAGGCAUUGGUAGGUAAGCUCACAAAUUUCAUAAGGUUUUAAAUCAUUUUGAAACACAAUAGAGACAAAGGAAUUCAAGAUGUCCAUCACUUCAUCUGCUUUUGGGAUGGGUUAUGGUUCUUCUAUUUUUGUUUGUUUGUUUAGUAUUGUAUUAGGCGAAAUACGGGGAUCUUAUCGAGAUGUGACAUGACAGGCCCUUCCUCAUAUUCUGGAAGAAUCUUACUGACGUGUAAUACAGUAGACGUAGACGAAAUGGACGUAGGUUAUAUAAGGUCGUGUAUGCUUCAAUAAAUCGCCAUUUUACCCUACCA
This 2252-nucleotide long non-coding RNA is filed under the name Coturnix japonica (Japanese quail). RNAcentral describes it as "lncRNA (ENSCJPG00005009026.1)". Lineage: Eukaryota; Metazoa; Chordata; Aves; Galliformes; Phasianidae. The record is from RNAcentral.